AGGAUUAACGCUGGCGGCGUGCAUGAAACAUGCAAGUCGAGCGCGGCGCGUGGCUUCGGUCACGCGUCUAGCGGCGCACGGGUGAGUAACACGUGAGCAACCUACCUUCGAGUUCGGGAUAGCCCUGGGAAACCAGGAUUAAUACCGGAUGUGGUCACAACGGGACAUCCCGAUGUGAAAAAAGGCGUAAGCCGCUCGAUGACGGGCUCGCGGCCUAUUAGCUUGUUGGUGGGGUAACGGCCUACCAAGGCGACGACGGGUA
This 262-nucleotide ribosomal RNA is filed under the name uncultured bacterium. Its description in RNAcentral is "partial small subunit ribosomal RNA". It matches the Rfam family "Bacterial small subunit ribosomal RNA", at positions 26 to 285 of the family's 1533-position model. The record is from RNAcentral.